This 289-nucleotide ribosomal RNA is filed under the name Salmonella enterica. RNAcentral's name for it is "partial 23S ribosomal RNA". It matches the Rfam family "Bacterial large subunit ribosomal RNA", at positions 2660 to 2925 of the family's 2925-position model. RNAcentral also lists the same sequence under 1 other name. The record is from RNAcentral. Lineage: Bacteria; Pseudomonadati; Pseudomonadota; Gammaproteobacteria; Enterobacterales; Enterobacteriaceae.
AAUUGAGGGGGGCUGCUCCUAGUACGAGAGGACCGGAGUGGACGCAUCACUGGUGUUCGGGUUGUCAUGCCAAUGGCACUGCCCGGUAGCUAAAUGCGGAAAAGAUAAGUGCUGAAAGCAUCUAAGCACGAAACUUGCCCCGAGAUGAGUUCUCCCUGAGACUUUGAGUCUCCUGAAGGAACGUUAAAGACGAUGACGUUGAUAGGCCGGGUGUGUAAGCGCAGCGAUGCGUUGAGCUAACCGGUACUAAUGAACCGUGAGGCUUAACCUUACAACGCCGAAGGUGUUU